Cataglyphis hispanica is the source of this 489-nucleotide long non-coding RNA. RefSeq lists it as uncharacterized. The record is from RefSeq and is a predicted model, not a curated record. The transcript is spliced from 3 exons. NCBI's taxonomy places the organism in Eukaryota, Metazoa, Arthropoda, Insecta, Hymenoptera, Formicidae.
GUCAAGCUCGGAAUGCAUGUGCGUGUCAAUCAAAUUAUGGAUGUGAAUUUGUUAAGUGAUCCGUAUAAGACAAAGCGAUUCGCAUGGAUCGUUCGAAAAGUGACAUUUUCUUAUUUAUUUCUCUCUCAGAUGUAAUUCUUGAUGCACGAUUCUACUUUCACUGAUUAUCGCAGUGGUAUUGGUAUCAACGGCACCGCAACCCGGUGGCGGUGAUCACGAACACACCCAUUUCAUCAUCCAUAUGCCACAUCAUAUCCACAAGCAUUAUCACAAGCACGAAAAGAAGAUUUAUAUACCGGCAAAAAAAUCCGACGAUGAUGAUAAGCAUCAUGACCAUCAUUACGAAUAAUGAGCGAUAAAUCAUUUUGUCCCAUGAUUAAAGAACUUAUCGCGGUAAAGUUAUUUAAUCAUGAUUAUAUCACUCGAUGAGAGACGUUUGUUUGUUGUUUUAAAUUGUUAAGUUUGCAAAAUAAAUUAAUAUAUGAUAUA